UUUCUCCUUCUUUAUUCUUACUAUAAAAAUGAGAAUUACUAGACCUGUGUUGCCUAAGAACAUACAAAAGCACUCAUAACAUGGAAUAUGUACUUGAAAGAUUAUAAUCUUCUUUAACAGAUAUGUUGGCAUUCAGGUGAAUCGGGCUAUUAAGCUUGAAUUCGUUUCUUAACAACCUUAUCUUUUUCUUAAAUAAUUUCUUGCAUCAAACAGAAGUUAUCAAAU
Molecule: long non-coding RNA, 225 nt
Filed under: Nicotiana benthamiana
Lineage: Eukaryota; Viridiplantae; Streptophyta; Magnoliopsida; Solanales; Solanaceae
Description: long non-coding RNA (NBEN_LNC012806)
Source: RNAcentral